AAGGAUCAUUCACAAUAAGUGUUCAAUGGCACUUUAAAAUCCAUUACCCACCUUGUGUGCAAUGUAAGGAGGAGGGGUGUCACAAACCCCUCUUUCAUUAUACAUACCAAUCUUCUCUUGUUGUCUAACUUUUUGAGUAUAAAAAAACUCGAAUACAACUUUCAACAACGGAUCUCUUGGCUCUC
RNAcentral lists this unclassified non-coding RNA (185 nucleotides) under uncultured fungus. RNAcentral describes it as "partial contains 18S rRNA, ITS1, 5.8S rRNA, ITS2 and 28S rRNA". Lineage: Eukaryota; Fungi. The record is from RNAcentral.